AUGGCAGCAAAGGCCAAAGUCUUAUUUGAGUUAUUACCAUUAUUAUUCACAUUUGCCAUUUUAUUUCAAACUCACAGUGGCGGAAGUGGACUAAGACAUCAUGUUGCCUCAAGUUUAAUUGGAAAUCGUGAGAUGGGGUUUUACUAUGUUGGAGAAGCUAGUCUCAAACUCCUGGGCUCAAGUCAUCCUCCCGCCUCAGCCUGGUUAUUGAGAUUACAGACGUGUGCCUGGCCUAUUUUACUCGUUUUGAUUCCCAAGAGGAAAAUUUCAGAGCUGGCAUGUCCAUUAUGCAAGUAA
Pongo abelii (Sumatran orangutan) is the source of this 297-nucleotide long non-coding RNA. The record is from Ensembl. Lineage: Eukaryota; Metazoa; Chordata; Mammalia; Primates; Hominidae.